UACGUAGGGUGCAAGCGUUGUCCGGAAUUAUUGGGCGUAAAGAGCUCGUAGGCGGUCUGUCGCGUCGGCUGUGAAAACCCGGGGCUCAACUCCGGGCCUGCAGUCGAUACGGGCAGACUAGAGUGUGGUAGGGGAGACUGGAAUUCCUGGUGUAGCGGUGAAAUGCGCAGAUAUCAGGAGGAACACCGGUGGCGAAGGCGGGUCUCUGGGCCAUAACUGACGCUGAGGAGCGAAAGCGUGGGGAGCGAACAGG
This 253-nucleotide ribosomal RNA is filed under the name uncultured bacterium. Its description in RNAcentral is "partial 16S ribosomal RNA". It matches the Rfam family "Bacterial small subunit ribosomal RNA", at positions 524 to 776 of the family's 1533-position model. The record is from RNAcentral.